UAGUCAUAUGCUUGUCUCAAAGAUUAAGCCAUGCAUGUCUAAGUAUAAAUAAUAUACAGUGAAACUGCGAAUGGCUCAUUAAAACAGUUAUAGUUUAUUCGAUAAUCAAAAUUACAUGGAUAACCGUAGUAAUUCUAGAGCUAAUACAUGCUGCAAGACCUGACUCACGAAGGGUUGUAUUUAUUAGAUAUAAACCAAUACCUUAGGGUGUUGUGAUGAUUCAUAAUAACUGAGCGAAUCGAGGCCGUGCCUUGAUGGAUCGUUCAAGUUUCUGCCCUAUCAGCUUUCGAUGGUAGUGUAUUGGACUACCAUGGCAGUCACGGGUAACGGGGAAUUAGGGUUCGAUUCCGGAGAGGGAGCCUGAGAAAUGGCUACCACAUCCAAGGAUGGCAGCAGGCGCGCAAAUUACCCACUCCCAGCUUGGGGAGGUAGUGACGAAAAAUAACAAUGCGGGACUCUAAGAGGCCCCGUAACUGGAAUGAGUACACCUUAAAUCGUUUAACGAGUAUCAAUU
Molecule: ribosomal RNA, 514 nt
Filed under: uncultured eukaryote
Lineage: Eukaryota
Description: bacterial SSU rRNA
Rfam family: Eukaryotic small subunit ribosomal RNA
Source: RNAcentral